Molecule: ribosomal RNA, 433 nt
Filed under: uncultured bacterium
Lineage: Bacteria
Description: partial 16S ribosomal RNA
Rfam family: Bacterial small subunit ribosomal RNA
Source: RNAcentral
AACGAACGCUGGCGGCAUGCCUAACACAUGCAAGUCGAACGAGACCUUCGGGUCUAGUGGCGCACGGGUGCGUAACGCGUGGGAACCUGCACUUAGGUUCGGCAUAACUCCCCGAAAGGGGUGCUAAUACCGGAUAAUGUCUUCGGACCAAAGAUUUAUCGCCUUUGGAUGGGCCCGCGUUGGAUUAGCUAGUUGGUAGGGUAAAAGCCUACCAAGGCGACGAUCCAUAGCUGGUCUGAGAGGAUGGUCAGCCACACUGGGACUGAGACACGGCCCAGACUCCUACGGGAGGCAGCAGUGGGGAAUAUUGGACAAUGGGCGAAAGCCUGAUCCAGCAAUGCCGCGUGAGUGAUGAAGGCCUUAGGGUUGUAAAGCUCUUUUACCCGGGAUGAUAAUGACAGUACCGGGAGAAUAAGCUCCGGCUAACUCCGUG